Molecule: long non-coding RNA, 1549 nt
Filed under: Nicotiana tabacum (common tobacco)
Lineage: Eukaryota; Viridiplantae; Streptophyta; Magnoliopsida; Solanales; Solanaceae
Description: long non-coding RNA (NTAB_LNC015015)
Source: RNAcentral
CUGAAUCUAACACAAUCUCUGUAUUCAAUUACAUUCUGGAUUUCUUUUCCCCACAUUCUGGAUCAACUUGUGAAACCAACAAUUACCGUCAUCUGACAUUUCUCGGCCUUCAAAAAUAACAAUAUCAUACAAUAAUAAUUCAUUGCAUACACUUUUCAUCGCUUAUAGUCAUGGUAUCAUCACAUACUACACAUAUUCAUUGCAUAACCGGAUAAAUGAUUUUAAAUAUAUAUAUAAUUAAAUCUUCAUAUUUUCUGCUUAUAAAUAAGGAGUUAAGCCAUAUUUGAAACAAGGAAAAAAAUGAGGAAAAAUGGAAAAGAGCUCAGCUUCACCAAAUGAUUCAUUUACUAGUGCCAUGACACUUACUGAAGACGGUCUAACCAAAGUUCCCAAACGUUACAUUCUUCCGCCAUCCUUACGCCCCGAUGGAACCCGGUCUAACACAUGCCUGCCAAUUGUAGAUCUAUCCUUUCUGCGACACCCUCUUCAUCGGCCUCGGAUAAUCGAGGAAGUACACCUGGCUUGCAAGGAACUAGGUUUCUUCCAGGUACUUCUCUCGUGUCAUGUCACCUGCAAUCAUGUACUAAAAUGAUAUAGUUUUUUAUCCUAUUUUGUUACAUGUAAAGUUCCUUCGUGCUGAUAUGAUUUAAGGAAGAACAAUAUACACACACCACGUAAAUAAAAGAUGUUGUCAGAUUCCCCACAGAGAGACAAAAGCAUUUGGAAAUCAAGAAAAAGAAACUUCAUGCAGCAUACAUGGUGCAUUUGGUUUCUAGACAUAUCUCCUCCUCCUCCUCCUCCUCCUCUCGUCCCUUUAUUUUCAGUUGAUCAGUUAAAAGAGAUGUCCUAGAUUUUAGAUACAUAGCGGUUUAGCAGGAAAGAGAAUAAGACGUGCUUCGCUAAUUCAACCUGGACGUAAAAUAACAGCAUGCAUGCAAUAAAUGACUCUGCAGGUAGUCAACCAUGGAAUCCCAUUGUCAGUCAUGAAAGAUGCCUUAGAAGCUGCGACUGAGUUCUUCGAUUUACCAAAUGAAAAGAAAAUGCAUCUCUUGUCUUCAAAUGUUCAUGAUCCCGUAAGGUAUAAUACCAGCCUAAAUGAUGUCAAAGACAAAGUAUCCUUUUGGAGAGACUUCCUCAAGCACUAUGCUAAUCCACUCUCAAAUUGGAUUGAUUUGUGGCCAUCAAAUCCCACAUGUUACAAGUAAGUUUUGCACCCUUAUCUGAAAUGAUUUCUGAUAGAUAUAUUUUCUCACUGUUCAAGAAUAAUAAAACUAUAGGUACCUAAAGCAGUUUAUCAUGCAGGGAGAAAAUGGGAAAUUACACGAUCGCAGCACAAAAGUUGCAAGAAGAACUCAUGGGAGUGAUAUUUGAGAGCUUAGGACUAAACCCUAGUUACUUACAUGAAGACAUUGCAGAAGGCUCCCAGGUCAUGGCCAUUAAUUGCUAUCCAGCAUGUCCUGAGCCAGAUCUUACACUAGGCUUGCCACCACACACAGAUUAUGCUUUGCUAACGAUCAUUCUUCAAAAUCAUCAGGGCUUGCAAAUCAUG